GUGGGGGAUAUUGCACAAUGGAGGAAACUCUGAUGCAGCGACGCCGCGUGAGUGAAGAAGUAUUUCGGUAUGUAAAGCUCUAUCAGCAGGGAAGAUAAUGACAGUACCUGACUAAGAAGCCCCGGCUAACUACGUGCCAGCAGCCGCGGUAAUACGUAGGGGGCAAGCGUUAUCCGGAUUUACUGGGUGUAAAGGGAGCGUAGACGGAAUGGCAAGUCUGAAGUGAAAUCCUGCGGCUUAACUGCAGAAUUGCUUUGGAAACUGUCAAUCUGGAGUGUUGGAGAGGUAAGCGGAAUUCCUGGUGUAGCGGUGAAAUGCGUAGAUAUCAGGAAGAACACCGGAGGCGAAGGCGGCUUACUGGACAAUAACUGACGUUGAGGCUCGAAAGCGUGGGAAGCAAACAGGAUUAGAUACCCCUGUAGUCC
RNAcentral lists this ribosomal RNA (425 nucleotides) under uncultured bacterium. RNAcentral describes it as "partial 16S ribosomal RNA". It matches the Rfam family "Bacterial small subunit ribosomal RNA", at positions 354 to 796 of the family's 1533-position model. The record is from RNAcentral.